Molecule: long non-coding RNA, 5830 nt
Filed under: Triticum aestivum (bread wheat)
Lineage: Eukaryota; Viridiplantae; Streptophyta; Magnoliopsida; Poales; Poaceae
Description: long non-coding RNA (TAES_LNC024187)
Source: RNAcentral
AUGCAUCUAGCGUAUUAAGUUCAUGGAGAAAUGGAGUAAUGCAAUAAGAACGAUGACAUGACGUAGACAAGAUCUAUUUAUGUAGAAAUAGACCCCAUCGUUUCAUCCUUAGUAGGAAUGAUACAUACGUGCUGGUUCCCCUUCUGUCACUGGGAUCAAGCACCGUAAGAUCGAACCCACUACAAAGGACCUCUUCCCAUUGUAAGAUAAAUAGAUCAAGUUGGCCAAACAAAACCCAAAUAUUGGGGAAAACAUAUGAGGCUAUAAGCAAUCAUGCAUAUAAGAGAUCAAAGAAGAUUCAAAUAACUUUCAUGGAUAAAAAAUAGAUCUGAUCAUAAACUCAAAGUUCAUCCGAUCCCAACAAACACCCCGCAAAAAGAGUUACAUCAUAUGGAUCUCGAAGAGACCAUUGUAUUGAGAAUCAAACGAGAGAGAGGAAACAAUCUAGCUACUAACUACGGACCCGAAGGUCUACAAAGAACUACUCACGCAUCAUCAGAGAGGCACCAAUGGAAGUGGUGAACCCCUCCGUGAUGGUGUCUAGAUUGGAUAUGGUGGUUCUGGACUCUGCGGCGGCUGGAAUUGAUUUUCGUCGACUCCCCUAGGGUUUCUGGAAUAUUGGGGUAUUUAUAGAGUAAAGAGGCGGUCCAGGGGCACCCGAGGUGGGCACAACCCACAGGGGCGCGCCUCAAAUAGGUGUGUCCAGCAAAGAAUCAAGACUUAAAGCACAAAACAAACAAGCAAAGACUCAUAUAGGUGUGUCGACGAAAUUUUAAGUGAAGCAUAGAGAGCAAUUCUAAAAGGUCAUGGCAUAAUUUUGGCUCUCUCAAAUAGGUGUGUCCAGCAAAGAAUCAAGACUUAAAGCAGAAAAUAAAAAAAACAAGCAAAGACUCAUAUCAUACAAGACGCUCCAAGCAAAACACAUAGUAUGUGAUCAAUAAAAAUAUAGCUUCGAGUAAACUACCGAUGGUCGUUAGAAGAAAGAGGGGAUGCCACUCGGGGCAUCCCCAAGCUUAGUUGCUUGCUUCUCUUUGGAUAAUAACUUGGGGUGCCAUGGGCAUCCCCAAGCUUAGACUCUUCUUACUCCUUAUUCCUUCAUCCAUCGUAAUAUAACCCAAAACUUGAAAACUUCAAUUACACAAAACUCAACAAAACCUUUGUGAGAUCCGUUAAUAUAGGAAAGCAAUUCACUACUAUAAGUACUGUAGCAAACCAAUUCAUAUUUUAUUCUUGCAUUAUAUCUACUGUAUUCCAACUUUUCUAUGGCAAAAACUCAUCAAAGAAAACCAUAGAAUCAUCAAAACAAGCACACAACGCAAAGAAAACAGAAUCCGUCAAAAAUAGAACAGUCUGUAGUAAUCUGGAUAUUUCUAAUAGUUCUGAAACUCGAAAAAUCUUGAGAAAUUAGGAAAACCUGAGCAAUUUGUAUAUUAACCUUCUGCAAAAAUAAUUGGUAUUUUAUCAUGCUCUAUUUAAAAAUGAGAAUUAUUUUCGUGAGCGCAAAAGUUUCUGUUUUUCAGCAAGAUCAAACAACUAUCACCCAAGAAGAUCCUAAAGGCUUUACUUGGCACAAACACUUAUUAAAACAGAAAAAACACAAUAAUAAUAGUAGCAUAAUUGUGCAAACACUCAAGAACAGAAAGCAAAAAGCAAAAAUAAAUUUUAUUCAUUGGGUUGCCUCCCAACAAGCACUGUCGUUUUACGCCCUUAGCUAGGCAUAAGAUUUCAACAAUGCUCACACGAAAGAUAAUAAUUGAAACACAAACAGAGCAUCAUGGAACAUGUGACAAACACAUUUAAGUCUAACAUAAUUCCUAUGCAUAGGUAUUUUAUAGCAAAACAAAUAAUCAAGAGAAGCAAAAACUAGCAUAUGCAAGAAAGAAGAAAGAAACAAUAGCAGUCUCAACAUAACGAGAGGUAAUUUAGUAACAUGAAAAUUUCUACAACCAUAUUUUCCUAUCUCAUAGUAACUACAUGUAGGAUCACGAUCAAAUUCAACAAUAUAUCUAUCAUAUAAAAUUUUCUCUUCAUGAUCCACAUGCAUAAGAGUUUUAUAAUCUUCCAAGAUAGUGGGAUUAACAUCAACUAAAGUCAUGACCUCUCCAAACCCACUUUCAUAAAGAAUUCUUAAGAUUGAAUACUCUCCAAAUAUGUGGGAUUACUUUUACCUAAAGUUGACGCUCUUCCAAACCCACUUUCAAUGUUAUUGCAAACAUAUUCAUCAUGAGGCUUAAAUAAAUUUUCAAGAUCAUAAGAAGAAUCACCCCAAUUAUGAUCAUUCAUUAGCAAUUGGUUCAUCAUAAUUGGAUCUUUUCAAAAGAUUAGCAAGUGGAUGCGGAUCCAUAUCAAUAGAUUUUUAGCAAGUGAAGAUGCAAGCAAAUAGAAGACACAUGGCAACACAAGCAAACAUGAGAUCUGAUGAGAAAAAGGCGAACAAAAAAGAGGGCGAAUAAAACGGCAAAUUUUUGUGAAGUGGGGGAGAGGAAAACGGGAGGCAAAUGGCAAAUAUUGUAAAUUGCAAAGAGAUGAGAUUUGUGAUUAGGAACCUGGUAGAUGUUGAAGAUCCUCCCCGGCAACGGCGCCAGAAAUUCCUUUUGAUGCGGCUUGAAGCUACGUCGGUAUUUCCCCAAAGAGGAAGGGAUGAUGCAGCACAGCGAUGGUAGGUAUUUCCCUCAGUGAUGAGACCAAGGUUAACGAACUAGUAGGAGAACCAAGCAACAAUACAUAAAUGGCACCUGCACACAAAUAACAAAUACUCGCAACCCGACAAGUAAAAGGGGUUGUCAAUCCCUUUCGGGUAGCGGCACUGGAAAUCGGCAAACAGACGUGAGAGAGUAGUAAAUAUUGAUAGAAAGAACGCCAAAUAAAAUAAAGUGCAGCAAGGUAUUUUUGUAUUUUUGGGUUUAAUAGAUCUGAAAAUAAAAGCAAAGGAAAAUAGAUCACAAAGGCAAAUAAUAUGAGAAAGAGACCCGGGGCCCGUAGGUUUCACUAGUGGCUUCUCUCGAGAAAAAUAGCAAACGGUGGGUAAACAAACUACUGUUGUGCAAUUGAUAGAACUUCAAAUAAUCAUGAUGAUAUCCAAGCAAUGAUCAUUAUAUAGGCAUCACGUUCAAGAUUAGUAGACCGACUCCUUCCUGCAUCUACUACUUACUCCACACAUGGACCGCUAUCCAGCAUGCAUCUAGUGUAUUAACUUCAUGGAGAAACGGAGUAAUGCAAUAAGAACGAUGACAUGAUGUAGACAAGAUCUAUUUAUGUAGAAAUAGACCCCAUCGUUUUAUCCUUAGCAGCAAUGAUACAUACGUGUCGGUUCCCCUCCUGUCACUGGGAUCAAGCACCGUAAGAUCGAAACCACUACAAAGCACCUCUUCCCAUUGCAAAAUAGAUCAAGUUGUCCAAACAAAACCCAAAUAUCGGAGAAGAAUACGAGGCUAUAAGCAAUCAUGCAUAUAAGAGAUCAAAGAAACUCAAAUAACUUUCAUGGAUAAAAAGAUAGAUCUGAUCAUAAACUCAAAGUUCAUCUGAUCCCAACAAACACACCGCAAAAAGAGUUACAUCAUAUGGAUCUCCAAGAGACCAUUGUAUUGAGAAUCAAACGAGAGAGAGGAAGCCAUCUAGCUACUAACUACGGACCCGAAGGUCUACAAAGAACUAAUCAUGCAUCAUCGGAGAGGCACCAAUGGAAGUGGUGAACCCCUCUGUGAUGGUGUCUAGAUUGGAUCUGGUGGUUCUGGACUCUACGGCGGCUGGAAUAGAUUUUCGUCGACUCCCCUAGGGUUUCUGGAAUGUUGGGGUAUUUAUAGAGUAAAGAGGUGGUCCAGGGGGCACCCGAGGUGGGCACAACCCAUCGGGGCGCGCCUGGGCCUCCUGGCGCGCCCUGGUGGGUUGUGCUCCCCUCGGAGCACCCCCAGGUGCUUCUUCGGCCCAUUGGUUGUCUUCUGGUCCAAAAAAAUCCACAAAAAGUUUCGCUGCAUUUGGACUCUGUUUGGUAUUGAUUUCCUGCGAUCAAAAAAACAUGCAAAAAACUGUAACUGGCACUUGGCACUAUGUCAAUAGGUUAGUACCAAAAAAUUAUGUAAAAUGACUAUAAAAUGAUUAUAAAACAUCCAAGAAUAAUAACAUAACAGCAUGGAACAAUCAAAAAUUAUAGAUACGUUGGAGACGUAUCAGCAUCCCCAAGCUUAAUUCCUGCUCGUCCUCGAGUAGGUAAUUGAUAAAAAUAGAAUUUUUUAUGUGAAAUCCUGCCUAACAUGUCAUCUCAUAUUCUUUUGCUUAUAGCAUGGACAUUUGGACUUUUAUAUUGUUCAAAGCAGUAGUCUAGUUUUGACAUGAUACUUAAAUACUCAAGCAUAUCAACAAGCAACCAAGUCUUUCAAAAUAUCAACGCUAAAAUAAGUUAUCCCUGGCCCAUCAUGCUCAAUCAUUGAUCCAUUCAUGAAACACACUCGCAUAUUAGCUACACCCAAUGCUCAAGUACGAUCAUAGUGCCCCAUAGUUGGUGCUUUAUAAGAGAAUAUGGAGACUCAAAUUCAAAAAUAAAAAUUUCAUAAAGUAAAAGAAAGGCCCUUGGCAGAGGGAAGUAGGGAUUUGUAGAGGUGCCAGAGCUCAAAGCGAAAAUUGAGAGAUAAAAACAUUUUGAGAGGCAUACUUUUCCCACCAACAAAAACGACUUAGAGUUCCCAACACUUUCCAUGCUAGAUAUAUCAUAGGCGGUUCCCAAACCGAAAAUAAAGUUUAUUCAUUUUUCAACCAUACUUUCACUUUUGAUGGCUAACCGUAUCCACGGGUGCCUUCCAUACCAAAACUUUCCAUGGAAUUUAUUAUUUGACAACAUAAAGUAAAUUCAUUUUUCAUUUCAGGACUGGGCAUCCCUAAUACCUUUGCCUUACUCUCGUGCAAUGACAAGUGAAUAAACACUCAUCGUGAGAAUAACACAUCUAGCAUGGAGAAUAUUAGCCACCCCUCACCGCCUCGCGAACGGUACAAGCACACAAAAGAGAAAUUUAUUUUGAAUAUUAGAGAUGGCACAUACAAAUUUUCUUAGGACGGCAAAAUAAUACCACAUAUAGGUAGGUAUAGUGGACUCAUGUGGCAAAACUGGUUUAAAGGAUUUUGGAUGCACAAGUAGUGAUCAUACUUAGUGCCAAAUGAAGGCUAGCAAAAGAUUGAGAAGCGACCAACCAAGAAAUGAAUAAUCUCAUAAGCAAGCAUUGAGCAUAAUUAACACCGAAUAAUGCACAACAAGUAGGAUAUAAUUUCAUUGCAUAAUUAUUGACUUUCGUGCUUGCAUAGGGAAUCAAAAACCUUAACACCAAUAUUCUUACUAAAGCAUAAUUACUCAUCAAGAUGACUCACAUAUCACAUCAUCAUAUCUCAAAACUAUUACUAAGAAUCAAGUUUAUUUUGUCCAAUGAUCUUCAUGAAAGUUUUUAUUAUAUCCUUCUUGGAUAUCUAUCACUUUGGAACUAAUUUUCAUAUGUUGCUUUUGAAAAGCUCAAACAAAUAUAAGGGAAGAUCAUGAGCAUAUUUUUUUUUCUUGCUCUCAAAUGAAUUUAAGUGAAGUAAGAGAUAAGUUCUUGAAAAUUUUACUAACUCUCAAAAAUAUCUAAGUGAAGCAAGAGAGCAUUUCUUAAAAAAUACUAAAGCACACCGUGCUCAAAAAGAUAUAAGUGAAGCACUAGAGCAAGUCCAUAGCUCAUAUAAAUGUAAGUGAAGUAUAGAGAGCAAUUCUAAAAGGUCAUGGCAUAAUUUUGGCUCUCUCAAAUAGGUGUGUCCAGCAAAGAAUCAAGACUUAAAGCACAAACAAAACAAGCAAAGACUCAUAUCAUAC